RNAcentral lists this ribosomal RNA (253 nucleotides) under uncultured bacterium. RNAcentral's name for it is "partial 16S ribosomal RNA". It matches the Rfam family "Bacterial small subunit ribosomal RNA", at positions 524 to 776 of the family's 1533-position model. The record is from RNAcentral.
GACGAGCCACACGAACGUUAUUCGGAAUUACUGGGCUUAAAGGGUGCGUAGGCGGCGCGGAAAGUUGGGUGUGAAAUCCCUCGGCUCAACCGAGGAACUGCGCCCAAAACUACCGUGCUCGAGGAAGAUAGAGGCGAGCGGAACUUACGGUGGAGCGGUGAAAUGCGUUGAUAUCGUAAGGAACACCCGUGGCGAAAGCGGCUCACUGGGUCUUCUCUGACGCUGAUGCACGAAAGCUAGGGGAGCAAACGGG